UCAUAUCAGUGUACGGUCAUGCCAAAACACUCUUGUUGUUCAAUUAGUUAACAUUAAGAUAAGCAUCCUAUAACAAUUAUCGUAUGUAAUAUGUACACGAUGGUUGACUUGGUCAACUUACAACAUAAAUCAGGACAUCGUUUAUAUCAGACCGAAUACAGACAAAGUACAGACACAAGUGCACCAACAAGUCUUUAUGUGGGUUAA
RNAcentral lists this long non-coding RNA (207 nucleotides) under Helianthus annuus (common sunflower). RNAcentral describes it as "hypothetical non coding rna". Lineage: Eukaryota; Viridiplantae; Streptophyta; Magnoliopsida; Asterales; Asteraceae. The record is from RNAcentral.